CUCGAACUCCACCGCAACCACUCAGGCGAGGAUCUUGGCCAACUCCAGACCUUUCUGGAACGCUGGACCAGGUAAACAUUUUGUCAGAAAAUCAGCUGCAUUUAGGGUAGUAUGAACUUUGAGUAGAUUCACGGAACCCUCAUGAACCUUGUCCCGGAUAAAAUGAUACUUAGUAUCCAUAUGCUUUGUUCUGCCAUGGUGAACUGCAUUCUUAGCUAGGCAUAUUGCACUCUGAGCAUCACAAUAUAGCGUGUAGCUUUUGAAUUCAAAACCUAACUCACCGCAAAGCAUCAUCAACCACUUACCCUCCUUCGCUGCUUCAGUGAGAGCCAUAUACUCAGCUUCUGUGGUUGACAAAGCAACUACAGACUGUAGUGUGGCUCGCCAACUGACAGUGUUUCCUCCAACCUGAAAAAUAUACGCUGAAACUGAUCUCCUUCGAUCCAAAUCUGAAUUGUAGUCUGAAUCACUGUAGCCCACUAUAUCAAAUAUCUCUUGCUUUGUAAACGUAAGACACACAUCUAGCGCUCCUGUUAAGUAUUUGAAAACCCAUUUGACAGCAUCCCAGUGAGCUCUUCCUGGUUGAGACAUGUACCUGCUGAUCAGACAGAUGGCAAAUCCCAAAUCAGGUCGAGACCCAAUCAUAGCAUACAUUAAGCUUCCAACCGCACUUGCAUAGGGUAUCUUAUCCAUAUAGCUAGCUUCCUCUUUGAUCUCAGCUUCCGUUAACCUCCUCAACUUAUGUUGUGAGCUAACUGGAGUCACAACUGGUUUAGCUCCUUCCAUAUUGAAAUUUUUCAAUACUUGUCUCAAGUAUUUUCCCUGUGAAAGUUUAAGGAGUCCUUUCUUCCUGUCACGUAGAAUGUCCAUUCCUAAGAUACGUGUAGCUUUCCCCAAAUCUUUCAUUUCAAACUCUGACUUGAGACUUUCCUUCAAUCUCUGAAUUUUCCUCAUAUCUUUAGACGCAACUAGCAUAUCAUCCACGUAGAGCAGUAAGAACACUUUCUCAUCUAGGGUCUUUCCUUUGAAGUAUACACACGGAUCAUGAACGCUUUGGCUGUAACCUUGUCUCUUCAUGAACUCAUCAAACCUCUGAUUCCACUGUCUUGGAGACUGUUUCAACCCAUACAACGACCUCUUCAGUAAACACACUUUAGACUCAUUUUCUUUUUCAAUGAAUCCUUCCGGCUGAUUCAUAUAUAUCUCCUCAUUUAGCGUUCCAUGUAAAAAUGCCGUCUUUACAUCUAAUUGCUCAAGUUCCAUAUCAAAGUUAACCACAACUGACAGCAGUAGCCUGAUCGAAACAUGUUUUACCACUGGCGAGAAGAUUUCGUUGUAGUCAACACCCUCUAUCUGUGUAAACCCUUUGGCCACAAGCCGUGCCUUGAAUCUAGGUGGUUCGACUCCCGGAAUCCCUUCUUUAUACUUGAAGAUCCAUUUACACCCCACAAUCUUCUUCUUUCCUGGCUUUUCUACAAUGAGCCAAGUACUGUUCUUGGCUAAUGAAUCGAUUUCUUCUUUCAUUGCUAGCCUCCAGUACUUCCAAUAUUUGCUUUUCAUUGCUUCCGCUACGGUCUUUGGUUCUUCAAUCUCCACGUCUUGAGCACACAGCAGAGCAUACACAACCACAUAGUCACUUCCUUCCUCAUACAUCGACGGCUUCUUUAUAACUCUUUUAGCUCGAUCUCGUGCCAACACAUAGUCACUUAAGCUUUCUGUAGAGGUUUCCGGUUGGUCUGAUUCUGAUUCUUCCUGUUCAUCUGGUUCAACAUCUGAGCUCUCUGACUCUGUUACUUCUGACCUUGAUGCCUCAGUGCCAGUUUCUGAAAAAACUCCACCUGAUUCUGUAUCCUCCAAUGUCUUAUCGAAUCUGAACGAGACUUGCUUUCCUUUCUUGUUCUGUUUCGUCUCGGGGGUACAUUUUUCAACUUUGUCCUUGAAGACUUUAUCUUCGUGAAACACCACGUUUCUGCUGAUCGUACAUUUCCCUUCUUCUGGCAUCCAUACUCGAUAUCCUUUGACCCCCUGAGGAUAUCCUAAGAAGUAACCCUUUGUAGCUCUAGGUCUCACUUUAUCCUGAACCGUAUGUACAAAUGCUUCACAACCAAACCUUCUCAAAUGAUUGAGAGUAACCUUUCUCCCAGACCAGACCUCCUCGGGUAUUUUGAAGCUUAAAGCCGACGUAGAAGAAUGAUUUAUGAGAUAUACUGCAGUUGAUGCGGUUUCUGCCCAAAACUGUUUCCCAAAUCCGGUCUCAGCUAGCAUGCUCCGAACUUUGUUCAUUAUUGUCAUAUUCAUUCUCUCUGCCACCCCGUUUUGCUGCGGGGUGUAGGCACAGGUCUUAUGCCGUUUUAUUCCUGAGCUCUUGCACAGUUCAUCAAAAGCUUUGUUGCAAAAUUCCAAACCAUUGUCUGUUCUGAGACACUUUACACGCUUCCCUGUUUGGUUUUCAACGAGUAGCUUCCAUUCCUUAAAACUUUGAAAUGCCUCAUCUUUGGAUCGUAUGAAACUUAUCCACACUUUCCUUGAAUAAUCAUCGAUGAACGUAAUGAAGUAUCUACUCCCUGCAAGACUUUCUUCAACACUGGGUGACCCCCAUAGAUCAGAGUGUAUAUACUCUAGCGGUUUCUUGGACGUGUGCUUUCCUUCUUGAAAGCUUUGUUUCUGUGCUUUUCCCAAAACACAUUCUUCACAGAAGUCGAGUGUAUGAACUUCUUUUCCGUCGAGAUAACCGCCUUUUACUAGUUCAUUCAUACACUUCAGUCCCAUGUGACCCAACCUUGAAUGCCACCUUCUUGUAGUAUCAAUUUCAGGUCGAGCAAUUGCUGCAGUGCCUUUCUGAACACUCCCAUUCAGAAAAUAUAACCCUUCUCUGUAAGUCCCUGAGAUCACACACUUUCCUUUUCGUGAGAACGUAACGUUAAAUCCAGAUCCUUCAUAGCUACACCCGCUCUUCUCUAAUUGACCAAAGGAGAUUAAGUUCCUGCCCAUACUUGGCAUGUAGCGUACGUUAGUCAGAAUAACCUCUGUUUUGUCUGGAUUUAAGAUCUUCAGUUUUCCAAUCCCAGUCACUUCACUGUAGGUAUUGUUUCCCAUUAGUACCUUUCCUCCAUCAACUUCUUCAAAGUCAAAUAAUGCAUCCUUGUCUGGGGUGAUAUGAAAGGUACAACCAGAGUCCAGCACCCACUGAUCUCGCGUGUCAUGAACACUUGCGGUCAAGAUCAUAGGUUCCUGCCUUUGAGCAACAUUGGCAUUCUGUUGCUUAUUUCCAUCUUUCCUCUCAGGACAAUCCCUUUUGAAAUGACCUUCACUGCCACAGACCCAGCACUCUUUCGCCUUUGCAGGUGUCUGUGAUCUUGAAUUCUUCCUGAACUUCGUGUCUCUACUCUUACUUCUUCCUCUCCCUUAUUUCCCUCCUUGACGACGUUCAUUGUUACCUUUGGUGGCAAACAGACCUUCAGCAGCUGAGCUUGUUUUUCCCACCAGUCCUUUCUCUCUUAGUUCAGCUUCUUUUGAAUAGGCUGAGGUAGUAACUUCUUUGAGCGUCAAUGUCUCCUUGCUAUUUCCAUACUUCAAUGUAUGUACAAGAGAGUCGUACUGAGGAGGCAAGCUUGACAGUACUUGAAUGGCUUGAUCUUCAUCAGAUACCAAGAUGUUCAAACUUGCCAAGUCAUCCACCAACUUCAAGAAUCCAUCUAAGUUUUCUUCAAUAGAUUUCUGCUCAGACAUCUUGAAACUUGCAAAGCUCUGCUUUAAGUAGAUUCGAUUAGGCAAUGUCUUGGUUUGAUAAUCCGCUUCUAAAGCUUUCCAAACUCCUUUUGCUGUCUGCUCUUUCAUCACUUUCCUCAGCACGAUGUUGGUUAGACUAGAGCAUAUCAAAUUCCGAACUCUGGUAUCCUUCUCUUUAGCUUUGGGGUCGAGUUCCUCUUUUGCCUUUAGCUUUGAAUCACUGUCGUCUUUCUCCGACGAUGAUUCUUCAGUAGACUCAUCUUCCAGUACUUUACCGAGUCCCUGUAACUCAAGCUGCAUCAGCAUCUUGAACUUCCACAUCCCAAAAUCCCCUUUACCAUCAAACUUUUCCAUCUUGAACUUCGUGACCGACUCCAUCAUCAAGAUCCGAGCUCGAACAACACACAAAUCCUCAAACUCUUAGAAUCGUCUAACGCCUUGGAUCACAAUCACUUGCAAUCACCUCCUGCACAAUAACCUUGUGCUCUGAUACCACUUGUUAGUGUUAUAAUCUUGAUUGUACUUGAUUAGAUCGAUCAACCGUUCUUGACUAUUGCUUGUGCUUGGUUCGUAGGUAACUAAAGAAAGCUAAGCAAUCAACACGCACGAGAUUGUUCACCCGGACUUCGUUUCCUACUGUCCGGGGAGAGCACGAUCACUCUCAACUGUCACUAUAGCUGUUUGAUCAAUACAAAGUCUCGGUAUCUUUCAACGCAUACAACUAUGAAUCUCAGUUAUAGAAGCGCGCAAAGAGUACCUCUGAAAUACACCACCGGUAAUCAGAUUCUUCUACGGUUCCGAUCACGGCAAGCUCUCCGCCUUCACCGUCGCGAUCGUCACCAAGAUAAGACUCUCUCACUCUGAUCCUUUAGCUC
This 4604-nucleotide long non-coding RNA is filed under the name Brassica rapa (field mustard). RNAcentral describes it as "long non-coding RNA (BRAP_LNC004603)". The record is from RNAcentral. Lineage: Eukaryota; Viridiplantae; Streptophyta; Magnoliopsida; Brassicales; Brassicaceae.